This 253-nucleotide ribosomal RNA is filed under the name uncultured bacterium. RNAcentral describes it as "partial 16S ribosomal RNA". It matches the Rfam family "Bacterial small subunit ribosomal RNA", at positions 524 to 776 of the family's 1533-position model. The record is from RNAcentral.
UACGUAGGCAGCGAGCGUUGUUCGGAAUUACUGGGCGUAAAGAGUGUGUAGGCGGUGCUCUAAGUUCGGUGUGAAAUCUCCCGGCUUAACUGGGAGGGUGCGCCGGAAACUGGAAUGCUCGAACGUGGGAGAGGAAAGCGGAAUUCCUGGUGUAGCGGUGAAAUGCGUAGAGAUCGGGAGGAACACCAGUGGCGAAGGCGGCUACCUGGACCAGCACUGACACUGAGGCACGAAAGCGUGGGGAGCAAACAGG